Hibiscus syriacus is the source of this 425-nucleotide long non-coding RNA. RefSeq lists it as uncharacterized. The record is from RefSeq and is a predicted model, not a curated record. Lineage: Eukaryota; Viridiplantae; Streptophyta; Magnoliopsida; Malvales; Malvaceae. The transcript has 3 exons.
CGCAGCCUCAUUUGUCGUCACUUCUUAUAGAUCCGUAAGCCUUUGUAGUUUUCCCUAUCAUUCAAUGUAUUGUUCGAUGCAACUGCGUCCUAUAGAUGUUUUUGCCAUGUAUACGUAAAACGCGUUCUACAGAAAGUACUCCCAAGGACAUCGAGUUGAUUUGUAAUGCGGAUCGGAUGCAUCUUCUAUGUAUAUGAAUUCUGUUCCUGAGAUAUUAAUGGCAUAUUCAAGUAAUCACAGAAUGAACUAAUGUUCAUAAAUGUACUAUAUUAAUGGUAAAAUGUUGGGCUUUCGGCACUACCCUCACGAUCGUGUGAAGCAUAGAGCUGAACUCAUCACCACGAAAGUGUAGCUCUUCUUUUGAGACUGGAUUAAUCGAAAUUAUCAAGUAUGAUAAAUUUACAAUAAAAGUGAAUAAAGGAAAU